RNAcentral lists this ribosomal RNA (277 nucleotides) under uncultured Alphaproteobacteria bacterium. RNAcentral's name for it is "partial 16S ribosomal RNA". It matches the Rfam family "Bacterial small subunit ribosomal RNA", at positions 395 to 689 of the family's 1533-position model. Lineage: Bacteria; Pseudomonadati; Pseudomonadota; Alphaproteobacteria. The record is from RNAcentral.
UGCCGCGUGAGUGAUGAAGGCCUUCGGGUCGUAAAGCUCUUUUACCCGGGAUGAUAAUGACAGUACCGGGAGAAUAAGCCCCGGCUAACUCCGUGCCAGCAGCCGCGGUAAUACGGAGGGGGCUAGCGUUGUUCGGAAUUACUGGGCGUAAAGCGCACGUAGGCGGUUACUCAAGUCAGAGGUGAAAGCCCGGGGCUCAACCCCGGAACUGCCUUUGAAACUAGGUGACUAGAAUCUUGUAGAGGCGAGUGGAAUUCCGAGUGUAGAGGUGAAAUUC